This is a non-coding RNA of Paramuricea clavata, 73 nucleotides long. The record is from the annotation of a GenBank genome assembly. NCBI's taxonomy places the organism in Eukaryota, Metazoa, Cnidaria, Anthozoa, Malacalcyonacea, Plexauridae.
GACCGCGUAGCUCAGUUGGAAGAGCAUUGGGCUAGUAUUCCGAAGGUCAUAGGUUCGAAUCCCGCCGUGGCCA